GACGAACCGUGCGAACGUUAUUCGGAAUCACUGGGCUUAAAGGGAGCGUAGGCGGGCUAUCAAGUCUGGGGUGAAAUCCCACGGCUCAACCGUGGAACUGCCUCAGAUACUGACGGCCUCGAGGGAGAUAGGGGCAUGCGGAACUGUAGGUGGAGCGGUGAAAUGCGUUGAUAUCUACAGGAACUCCGGUGGCGAAAGCGGCGUGCUGGAUCUCUUCUGACGCUGAGGCUCGAAAGCUAGGGGAGCAAACGGG
This 253-nucleotide ribosomal RNA is filed under the name uncultured bacterium. RNAcentral describes it as "partial 16S ribosomal RNA". It matches the Rfam family "Bacterial small subunit ribosomal RNA", at positions 524 to 776 of the family's 1533-position model. The record is from RNAcentral.